GACGAACGCUGGCGGCGUGCUUAACACAUGCAAGUCGAACGGUGAAGCGCCUUCCUUUUUGGUGGGUGUGGAUGAGUGGCGAACGGGUGAGUAACACGUGAGUAACCUGCCCCCUUCUUCUGGAUAACCGCAUGAAAGUGUGGCUAAUACGGGAUAUUCUGGGUCUGUCGCAUGAUGGGUCUGGGAAAGAUAUUGUUUCGGUGGGGGAUGGGCUCGCGGCCUAUCAGCUUGUUGGUGGGGUGAUGGCCUACCAAGGCGGUGACGGGUAGCCGGCCUGAGAGGGUGGACGGUCACACUGGGACUGAGACACGGCCCAGACUCCUACGGGAGGCAGCAGUGGGGAAUAUUGCACAAUGGGCGCAAGCCUGAUGCAGCGACGCCACGUGAGGGAUGGAGGCCUUCGGGUUGUGAACCUCUUUCGCCAGUGAAGCAGGCCUGCCUCGUUUGUGGGUGGGUUGACGGUAGCUGGAUAAGAAGCGCCGGCUAACUACGUG
Molecule: ribosomal RNA, 494 nt
Filed under: uncultured bacterium
Lineage: Bacteria
Description: partial 16S ribosomal RNA
Rfam family: Bacterial small subunit ribosomal RNA
Source: RNAcentral